UCCAUGCAACAAGUUGCAUCUAGGGAUCGACCAAACCAUGGAAGUGCAGAUUUUAGUGGACGUAAACCAUCAUUCAGGGAUCAUGACUGGGUGGCUUUUCCUAAUCCGCGGUACCAGAGAAGUCUUUAAAUACCAAUACAAGCAAAUGUGUUGGCAUUAUGAGAAUGAUACCUACAUCAUUUUUCUUUGUUAUACAUUUCGGAGCUGAAACUGGUGAUGAGGACUGAUGAAUACAGUCCGAACCCUGUCAUAUCCUCUGCUAAUACAGUUAAGGCUAGGUAUUUAAUAUGCAAACUAAGAAUAGCAUAUGCAAGUAAAUAAACAUCCUACAGAAGAAUUUGCUGUUGUACUUGAUUAUGAUAUAGUGUUAAUUAAUAAUGUGAAAGGUCAUGAGCUUGAAGUUCAUGAUUAUGUUUCACAUUAUUAAUUAACACUA
This 436-nucleotide unclassified non-coding RNA is filed under the name Hevea brasiliensis (rubber tree). The record is from RNAcentral. Lineage: Eukaryota; Viridiplantae; Streptophyta; Magnoliopsida; Malpighiales; Euphorbiaceae.